RNAcentral lists this ribosomal RNA (330 nucleotides) under uncultured Chloroflexota bacterium. Its description in RNAcentral is "bacterial SSU rRNA". It matches the Rfam family "Bacterial small subunit ribosomal RNA", at positions 28 to 351 of the family's 1533-position model. Lineage: Bacteria; Bacillati; Chloroflexota. The record is from RNAcentral.
GAUGAACGCUGGCGGCGUGCUUAAUACAUGCAAGUCGAACGGACGAUUUUUGUAGUAAUACAAGAGAAGUUAGUGGCGAACGGGCGAGUAACGAGUUGGUGACCUGCCCCGAAGAUCGGGAUAACAGUCCGAAAGGAUUGCUAAUACCGGAUGUGGUCUACUGGUUUUAGAAGCGGUAGAUUAAAGCAGCAAUGCACUUCGGGAGGACCUGCUUCCCAUCAGCUAGUUGGUGAGGUAAAGGCCCACCAAGGCUACGACGGGUAAGGGACCUGAGAGGGUGGUCCCUCGGCAAUGGCACUGAAACACGGGCCAUACACCUACGGGUGGCAG